This is a regulatory RNA element of Cavia porcellus (domestic guinea pig), 286 nucleotides long. It matches the Rfam family "Mason-Pfizer monkey virus packaging signal". Rfam says of the family: The packaging signal is located in the 5' UTR and is required for specific RNA encapsidation. The record is from Rfam. NCBI's taxonomy places the organism in Eukaryota, Metazoa, Chordata, Mammalia, Rodentia, Caviidae.
UGGUACCUAAUGUGGGUCCCGAGAAUGGGGGAACUAGUGAGGGAUUCUGUUUGAGAAGCUGGCACAAAAACAGAACAGAGAAAAUUCCAAAAAUAGAGGAAAAGACUAUGUGGGAAACUGCUGCUUUCUCUAAACCUCAGUAAUGGAACAGUGAUUAUGGGACAAGAAAUGAUCCAGAGUGAGAUUUUUGUUGAAAGUUUAGGAAAGGAUUUACAGGCACGAGGAGUAAAGGUUAAAAUUAAGCAGUUAUGUCAACAUUUUGAUUUUAUAAAGGAAGUUUGUCCCU